UACGGAGGGUGCAAGCGUUAAUCGGAAUUAUUGGGCGUAAAGCGCGUGUAGGCGGUUUGUUAAGUCUGAUGUGAAAGCCCCGGGCUCAACCUGGGAAGUGCAUUGGAUACUGGCAGACUUGAAUACGGGAGAGGGUAGUGGAAUUCCUGGUGUAGGAGUGAAAUCCGUAGAUAUCAGGAGGAACACCGGUGGCGAAGGCGGCUGCCUGGACCGAUGUUGACGCUGAGACGCGAAAGCGUGGGGAGCAAACAGG
RNAcentral lists this ribosomal RNA (253 nucleotides) under uncultured bacterium. Its description in RNAcentral is "partial 16S ribosomal RNA". It matches the Rfam family "Bacterial small subunit ribosomal RNA", at positions 524 to 776 of the family's 1533-position model. The record is from RNAcentral.